GAUGAACGCUGGCGGCGUGCCUAAUACAUGCAAGUCGAGCGAACAGACGAGGAGCUUGCUCCUCUGACGUUAGCGGCGGACGGGUGAGUAACACGUGGAUAACCUACCUAUAAGACUGGGAUAACUUCGGGAAACCGGAGCUAAUACCGGAUAAUAUAUUGAACCGCAUGGUUCAAUAGUGAAAGACGGUUUUGCUGUCACUUAUAGAUGGAUCCGCGCCGCAUUAGCUAGUUGGUAAGGUAACGGCUUACCAAGGCAACGAUGCGUGGCCGACCUGAGAGGGUGAUCGGCCACACUGGAACUGAGACACGGUCCAGACUCCUACGGGAGGCAGCAGUAGGGAAUCUUCCGCAAAGGGCGAAAGCUUGACGGAGCAACGCCGCGUGAGUGAUGAAGGUCUUCGGAUCGUAAAACUCUGUUAUUAGGGAAGAACAAAUGUGUAAGUAACUAUGCACGUCUUGACGGUACCUAAUCAGAAAGCCACGGCUAACUACGUG
This 497-nucleotide ribosomal RNA is filed under the name uncultured bacterium. RNAcentral describes it as "partial 16S ribosomal RNA". It matches the Rfam family "Bacterial small subunit ribosomal RNA", at positions 28 to 507 of the family's 1533-position model. The record is from RNAcentral.